CACGUAGGGCGCAAGCGUUGUCCGGAAUUAUUGGGCGUAAAGAGCUCGUAGGCGGUCUGUUGCGUCCGCUGUGAAAACUCGGGGCUUAACCCCGAGCCUGCAGUGGAUACGGGCAGACUAGAGGUAGGUAGGGGAGAAUGGAAUUCCCGGUGUAGCGGUGAAAUGCGUAGAGAUCCGGAGGAACACCAGUGGCGAAGGCGGGUCUCUGGGCCGAUAUCGACGCUGAGGAGCGAAAGCGUGGGGAGCGAACAGG
Molecule: ribosomal RNA, 253 nt
Filed under: uncultured bacterium
Lineage: Bacteria
Description: partial 16S ribosomal RNA
Rfam family: Bacterial small subunit ribosomal RNA
Source: RNAcentral